Molecule: ribosomal RNA, 253 nt
Filed under: uncultured bacterium
Lineage: Bacteria
Description: partial 16S ribosomal RNA
Rfam family: Bacterial small subunit ribosomal RNA
Source: RNAcentral
UACGAAGGGGGCUAGCGUUGCUCGGAAUGACUGGGCGUAAAGGGCGCGUAGGCGGCCUCCUAAGUCAGACGUGAAAUCCCCCGGCUUAACCUGGGAACUGCGUCUGAUACUGGGAGGCUAGAGUGCGGGAGAGGGAUGCGGAAUUCCAGGUGUAGCGGUGAAAUGCGUAGAUAUCUGGAGGAACACCGGUGGCGAAGGCGGCAUCCUGGACCGACACUGACGCUGAGGCGCGAAAGCUAGGGUAGCAAACGGG